Molecule: long non-coding RNA, 8335 nt
Organism: Catharus ustulatus (Swainson's thrush)
Lineage: Eukaryota; Metazoa; Chordata; Aves; Passeriformes; Turdidae
Exons: 2
Source: RefSeq, a predicted model, not a curated record
CCCUGUGCCCUGUGCAGCCCAGGCUGUCCUACGGUGUCCCUGCCCUGUGCCUCUGUCCCUGCAGGCUGUCAUCAUCCCCUGGCUGCCCCACCUCGCUGGGCCCUUCCUUUGCUGACAGCUCUGUGUCCUGCCUGCCUCUGCCUGGCCACACAAAGCCUUGGGCUGCUCUAGACCCCUUCUGGGGAACGUGUUGCACCACAGCCCUGCCCUGGGACAGAAAUUCUGUUCUUGUGUCCAGUAUGGGCCUCCCCAUCUGCCCUUUGCAUUAAUUUCUUCCUUCACCAACUGUUCUCUACUAUUUUAAAUUAAUCCAUCAUCUCUGAAACUGCCUUCAUGCACUCCCAGGGCUCUCCUCUGCUGUCCUCAGUCUCUACUCCACUGAGCACAGAGCUCCUUUGUCCCUAUACAGCAGUCAUGUGCUUGAGGCCAUAUGCACCUGGGCAAGUGUUCUUUUCUGUAGGGAGAAAACAACAGAAUCUUAGGAUUUUGAAGGCAGGUGAGAGGCACUCACCGGAGGCCAAGUCCAGCCAACCCAUCUGCUCCUGCAGUUUUUGUCUGAAAGCAACCCUUGGCAGUUUGUGGAGUUCUGGAGGUGGAAUUCCAUUUCAGUUGUGGGUGCUUGGAGCUGAAUGACAAUUCUUCUUCACAGGAAGGAAAGGGCAGAGCCCCAGUGUUUCAAAUGCUGAUUAGAGGUGGCCUCAAUGAGUCCAGGCCAGCCAGACCUGUUUGUCUUGGUAGCUUUCAUCUGGGAGCAAUCCUUGGAUAGAUGGAAUUUAGGAGGCCAAAUCCCAGUUUUGUCCAUGGGUGUCUGGACAAGAAGGACAGUUCUUUUCCAUAGGAAAGAAGGUAGAGCUCCAGUGUUUCAAAGGCAGAUGAGAGCUUGCCCUCAGGAAGUUAAGGGGACCUAGAUAUUCCUGUCUGCUUUUCUCUGGGUGCUAUCCUUGGAUUUUUUUUUUAUAGGCGGAUUUCCAAUUUUGUCCAUGGACGCCUGGACUUGAAAGAUGUUUUUUCCAUAGGAAGAAAUGCACGGCCUCCCAAUGUUUUGAAGGCAGAUGAGAGAUGGCCAAGGUCAGCCAGAGUUCUUUGUCCUUGGAUAUAAUCAAAUUUAGAGGCAGAAUCCCAAUUUCAACCAUGGGCACCUGGAGGAGAAAGGCAUUUCUUUCCCAUAGGAAGGAAAGCAUGGAACUCCAGGAUUUCAGGGCAGAUGAGAAACACUCCCAACCUGUCAAGGUUAGCUGGACCAGUCAGGUGGCCCCCAAGAGGCCAAGUCAACCAGACCUGUUCCACGUUCCCUUGGAUCCAUGGAUCUCUGCAGCAUCACAAUUGUCCCUUGGUUCCAGGCCCCGUAGUACCACAAGAGAUCUUUUUUUCCAUGAGGCCCAGCAAUAUCACAGUGUUCUCCUUGGCUCCGCAGUGGCACAAUGGUCCCGUGUUUCCAUGAGAUCCUGCAGUGUCACUAUGGGCUCCUCGGCUCCACAAGACCCCGUUCAUUCAACGAGGUCUCAAAGUGUCAGAAUGGUCUCCAGGAUUUCAUGAGGCCCCACAGUGUCACCAUGAUCUCUUUUGGUUCUGCAGUAUCACAAUGGCACCUUGGUUCCAUAAAGCCCUGAAGUACAGAAUGGUGCCUUGAUUCCAUUAGGCCAUUCUCUGUUACAUGAGUUCUUAGUUCCAUGGAGCCCUGCAGUGUCACAAUGGUCUCCUUGGCUCCAUGGUGCCACACAGUGUCACAGUGGCCCCUUGGCUCUACAAGGCCCCAGAGUGUCACAAUGGUCCCUUGGUUCCAUGAGGCCCUGCAGUGUCACAAUGGUCUCCUUGGUUCCAUGAGACCCAGGGGUUCCACAAUGGCCCUUUGGUGUCACAGUGUGUAACAACAGUAUCCUUAGUUCCACAGGGUCAGAAUGUCCCUGUGGUCUCAUGGAUCUCCACAGCAUCACUACAAUCCCCUUGAUUCCAUAAGUCCCUGCUGUGCAACAGUGACGCCUUGGUUACACAAGGCCCUGCAGGGUCACAAUGGCCCCUUGUUCCAAUAGGUCCCAAAGAGUUAUAAUGGUCUCCACGGUUUCAUAAGGUUACUCAAUGUUUCAAUGGACUUUUUGUUCCAUGAGCUUUCAUACUGCCAACAACAGUCUGUUUGGUUCCACAGUGUCAGAAUGGACCUUUUGUUCCAUGACAUUCCGUAGUGUCACCAUUGUCUCUUUGGUUCCACAAGGUCUUGCUGUGUCACAAUGCUCCCUUGGUUCCAUGCCAUUCUGUACUGUCAAGAAUGAUCUCCUGGGUGGUUCUGCAGUGUCACAAUGGAUCCUUGGUUCCAUGAGUUGCCUGGCCUCCCACAGCCUCUCAGAGACCCUUUUACCCCUCAAGGCCUCUCAUAACUCCUCCCAGCCCCUCAGUGCCCCUCAUAGCUCCUCAUAGCCCCUCAUAGCAUCUUCACAGCCCCUUACAGCACAUGGACCCUCAUGACCCUUUACAGCCUCUAACAAACUCUCAUGGCCCUUCACAGCACCUCACAGUCCCUCAUGGCCCCUGAGGGCCCCUCACAGCUCAUGGAAUCUCAUGAACUUUCACACUCCCUAACAAACCUUCACAGCCCCUCACGGCUCCUCCUGAAAGAGAAGGGAUCGGGCCCUGCUUGUUCCCCUUUUAUUUCAGUCCCUUCACAGUGAUGAGUAAAGAAAGGCUGAAAUGGAGCCUUUCCCUAGCGUUUCCCUCAGGGUUAGUUGCAGGCUGAAGUUCUGUGCUGGCACUGCCCGAGCACGAACGUCCCUGCAGCCCCAAGGCCUUUGCUGUUCCCCUGUGUCCAUUCCCUGUCCUUGAGUCCUGCCCAGCUCUGGCAGCAGCAAUGAUGCUUGAAAACCAGGCAAGAAAACACUACUCCAUAGUAUAGGUCCUAUAGAGCAGGUAUUUGUUUAUUUGACACUAUGAGUGAGGGGGAUAGCUCCACCACAAACUCACUUGUCCAUUCUCCACACACUACUAUACUUUUAUACUUUUUUUUUUAAUGUCCACAUUAUACUUUCCUAACUUUCAUAUUGUAAUAUAUUUUCUUAUCACAUGGUUAUGUAAACCCUUGUAGCACAUUGCUGGGUGUUGUUUUUUCCCCUUUUCUCUCUGUGGAAUUUCCCCCAUUAUCAUGCUAAGAAAUCUGUUGGCUGCUCGAUAGCACAGAUGGCUAGUGAGGGGGAAAGGGGAGAGACUCCUGGUCCCUUUUGUUUGGAGUUUCUCUAGCACUGGGGUGGGGAGGAGCAGGGGAAGAGGAAGAACAUCACGAGAUCAGGGGGCAGGUAAUGGUGGUGAGCUACUUGCUCUCUCUUGCUCAUUCAUCUCGGAGAAAAAAGGCCGCUGAAAAAACCCUCGCCCUGCCACACGAAUGCUGGGAGCUGCCUUCCCUCGGCAGUGGGAUCCCACAGCCCCCCCUACUCGGACGCCCUCUCACUUCAGCCUGCCACCACCAGGCACACUGCUGAGCACCGUGACCGCCACCAUGAGUGGAGGAAUCUCUUCUCCACCCUUCUCCCACCUGGGACACCACCGCCAUCACCCCAGCCCUCCUGCAGCUGUGCAGGCGGGAUCUGCCCCCACUGGUAACUAUGGCACAGGGAAAGGGUGUCUGCAGCCGAAAAAGGACUGCAACUGAAUUACCAUUCUGUUUGUUGUUAAUGUCAUAGCUGUUGUUGUUUUUCUGUUUGUCUUGUUAUAUACAUUAGUAAAGAACUGUUAUUCCUAUCCCCAUAUCGUUGCCUGAAAGCCCCUUAAUUCCAAAAUUAUAAUAAUUUGGAUGGAGGCGGGGUUUACACUCUGCAUUACAGAGGCUCCUGCCUUCUUAACAAAUACCUGUCUUUCAAACCAAGACACACAUGCACAGUUUCUACACAAGGUUGUCAACAGCCUCCAGUGAUCAUUUUGAUAAAGGCUCAGAAAACUUCCUCAGGCUUGAACUUGCUACCCCUGCUUCCUGCACAUGCUCUAUAACAUUGUCAGACACCUCUGGGCUGCACAGAUCAGGGGUACAGCUCAGGGUCAGGAGGGGCCCUAUCCACAGGGUCAGAGGCUCCAGGGCUCUCUGAGCUGCCUGGGUGCAUUGGCACUUGAUGUACAGUGGCACCUCAGAGGGGCUACAUCCUGUCACCAGCAGGAAGCCAUGGUGGAAAGCAGCAGUUUGGAGCAUUGAGCUCAUGGAUGCUUAGCCCAACCCUCAAAAGGAGACAGGCUGGAGUCUGCUCUAGGUUGGGACCCCAAGACCAAUCCUGACCCCUCAUGAGAUGCCUUGGCUUGGGCCAAAGUUUGGGGUGAGCUGGGAUGAGGGCAGGAAUGAGGUAAUGGGAUGAGAGGAGAGCUCUGAGCUCCUGGUUGGUGUCAGAAUCCAGCCAAGGCCACAUGCAGGUGGAUCUUGGUGGGCAUCAUGCCCAAGGGAGCCUCUCCUCUGCUCACCCUUCCCUUGCCAUUCUCCACCAGCAGUCAGAGAGCCCUGGAAGCUUCAAGGAUGGAAGCAGGUGCAUAGGAGAUGGCAAUACCAUCCUGGAGAAUGCCUUCUGGGAGCUGAGGAAAGUUCUCUGCUUGUCACAGCCACCAGGUAACAGUCCCAGCCUAAGGUGUCUCUGCUCCAGCAGCUUUCCCAAAAGCUGAUUGGACACUUAAGUGAAUCUCAGGAUGUCCCUGGGGACCAAACAGGACUUACACACUUAUUCUCCUCUGGGUGUGCAGGGGAUGAGGUGGCUUCUUGGUGGCUUAACCCAGCACUGAUCCUGUCUUUCAAAGGGGUGAGGUAUGCAGGCUCUGCCCCAGGGGCUGGAUGCUGGGCAGGACAAAGUGCUACUGGGUCUCUGAUGCCUUAAUGUACGAAGUAAAGCAACACAGUCCCCGGGCAGGUGCAAAGGAGAGACACUUUAUUACAAAAACCAGGCCUUUUAAAGCAGUUAGCCAAUUACCAGUUACAUUCUAUUCAUGUAUAACAAAUAUAAUUCAACCAACCACCAUAAACCAUGAUGUGAACACAUGAUGGUUUUAUAACUUGUUAUUCUACCUCCAACUCAGCUGAGUCACUUUCCCAUAGUCCUUUUCUUCUUAGCUGAAGUAGCAGGCCUGAGCCAUGAUUUUAAAAGGGUAACAAGGCUCUUAUUUUAUAAGGUUUUACCUAUAUGCAACACCUUAGGAUUUUAGCUUUUAUAUUUUUCAUAUAUUUGUAAUCCUGUAAUUCUUUAGUGUAUAACUCUAAACUCCGCACAUAAUGUUAGCUGUUGCUUUACCAUUUUAGUCAGACAAAACAAUCCCUUUCUAGGCAUGGGAAUUCCUGGAACUAGAGGUGUAGCAAGGGAUACCUUACUGUCUCAGGCCCUGAGAGAUGUAAACAAAAAUGAACUGGAGGGCAGCAAACUUAGGGUAAAUUAUUUCAUUACCUGAAGCUGUAAUUGAAAGAUUAACCACCAAUAUGUAAAUGAAAGUAUGAAAACCCAUGACCCAUCAUCCAUUUUGGGUGCAGUCCCUGGGGGCUUUGCCCAAAAUGCACUUUAAGGUCCUUCAAUAAAUAUAACCACGUUUUAUUCUCCAUAUUUUGUCUUGCCUCUGUUCUUAGGUAGCCCCAAAAUGCUGGAUACAGCCCAUGGAUUGUGAGGUACAAGGACUGCAGGAGUCAGGGGUCCACACUGCUGGUGCCAUGAGACCACAAUGAGCUGGUGAAGGAACUGAUGGCACUGGGGAUGUGGGACAGGUCCCAGAGCUGCAACAGAGGGGCUGGUGGUGCCCAGGGAAGGGUGAAGGUGUUCCCAGAAGCACGGGGUCAGUCAAGUUCCCCAGGUGCCCUAUGGCAUAGCAUGGCGGACACCGGUGGGAAUCCGUGAGGGUCUGUGGGGUGUUUGGAAGGGCUCUGAGACUGCAGAAGGGGUUUGGGAGUGUAUGGGGAGCGCUGGCAAUCGGGAGUGGUUUGCGGGGGCUGGGUGUCUAUAGGGGUCCGGAAGAAAUCUGUGCGAUUUGGGAGGGCCCUCUAGGGUGUUGCGGGAGGUCUGUGGAAGAUGUUGGGCGUCCAGGAAGGGGUUUGCAGGGACCCUUGGGUUUUGUGGGGUCUUUAAUGGGGGUCUGUUUUGGGGGGCCCAGGACAGGGCUGGGGGUUGGGUCUGUGGGGACUAGGAAGUCUAUAGGGACGUCUGGGGGGUUAUUGCGCGUAUCGGGGCAGGGAACCGCCAAACCCGUGGGGCCGGGGCUCACCUGUCUUCUUCUCACCUUCACGGCCGACGUGGCGCCGGGGUGUUCUGGUGUCCCCCCGCCCCUGAGAGCGCUGUGGGGGAUCAUAGGGGGCCUCAGAAACACCUCCUGAGUCCCCAGAAAUCCGUCGGGCUCUCCCGCCUCCAAUUGACCGCGGCUCGCGCCAGUUUACUCACUUCCUGGACUACAACUCCCGAAAUGCCGCGGGGCCCCGUAGAACGCCUUUGGGGCCGGGACUGCAGUUCCUAUCAUGCCCCGCGGCCGCUGAGGGCGCGGCCGGAGCCGGCGCUACCCAGUAAGUUCCGUCCUGACUGCUCCCCAAGGGCCUCACUGAACCGGCUGCAGGGGAAUCUCUGCUUUGGCACCUGCAGCACCUCCUCACCUGGGGAGCUGCUCACAGAGGAGGGACAACAGCAGCGAAAGGAGCUUGGGACCAAAGGAGGCAUCAGCAGAGCAAGAAACAUUUCCCAAGCUCUAGCUGGUGUCAGGUGAACUCAAAACGGGAGAUUGGGUGGGUUUGGUUUGAACCAGAGAGUGAAUUUAAGAGUAAAUUGCAGAUUUACUCCUGUGUCAGGAGCACAGAAUUCCCUGGAACAUGGAUUUGCUGCUUUAAAAUGUUGGUUUACUUUCCGUAUUUUGUCUUGUGCAAGAGGUCAGUGUUUCACCUUUUAUAAAUAAAGAGAUGAUGAUGAUGACGAUGACGCUAGUUAUUUAGGCUCCCUUGCAGCACGGCAAGCAUCUGCAAGGCAGGUACUUUACUCUCAAGACUUCAACAUGUGCAGAUUUUACCUUUCCCUUGCUCAUAAUUUCCUUUUGCUGGGCUACUCCCUCCCAUCUGCUGACCAUCCCCAAAUCCCACAAGGCCAGAGUCUUGGUUGCACCAAAAUGAAAUGAAACUCUGAAUGUUAUUUUUCUCAAGGAUUUUAAGCCUUAUAAAUCCCCUGUUCUGAAGUGAUAUGGGGUGUGGCAGGCAAGACUUAGAGGGUUUAGAGGUAAAAGCAGCAUUUCUCAUAUUUAUGAAAAAUAAAAUAUUUUCACUCAGACAUGGCAGGUUCUCUCCUGGAAGCUGCUGCAGGGUUUAGGGAGGGAAUCUGGAAAUGUCCAACAGAUCCUGAUACCUCCUUUUUCCUUAAGUGAGGACUCUGAAAUGGCAAAGGAAAAAGAUCAGGAAACCUUAGAAGCUGAGGAAAACGAUCCAAAAUGUGGUUGCUGAGGCCCUUGCCUGUGUUUUGGGCAGUGAAGGAAUAGUUGGGGUUGGAAGGCCCUCUGGAGACCCACCAAGGAAAAUGUCCUCAUCUGGCACAAUCUCUUCACCUCAGAAUGUUUGGGGUUUGGGAGGUGAAACCUAAUUUGUGUCCCUGAAGGGAUGGAUGGAGUUUUCUCCAGAUUUGGGUUUGGAGGAAACAGAACUGUAAGUGUUGCAUUGCUCUCACCUGGCUUUUGUGUUUCCCAGCCCUGUGUCACAUGGCAGGACAGGCCAGGCUCCUCCCUGCCCACCUGUCCCACCUGCUGAGUCCUUCCAAAGGGCUGUAUAGGGAGCCUGGACCCACUUCACUCCCCUCAUCCAUCCAGGAACUGUCCCAUCAUAGAAGGCAGAUUGGUUCUGUGGUGUAAUUUUAUGGAGUCCAGUGGGGAAACUUCUCCCUGCCUUCCUCCCUGAUUAUCUCAUGCUCCUCUUCCUGUUUUAUUCUCUGUUGCUAUGUCCUCCUCCCUGUGCCAUCAUUCCUCCCUGUGCCAUCACUCCUCUCUGUAUUCCCUGUCCUGCUCCCUGUGCCAUCGUUCUUCCCUGUAACUGGCACAAUUUUCUUUCCCUCAGUUUUACAUAUUCCAUCAUCACUUGCAAGCUGCUCCUGCUUUCACAGAAGCACAAAAUCAGUUUGAUUGGAAGGGACCAGUGAGUCAUCUGGUCCAACCUCCCUGCUCAGGCAGGAUCAUCCCAAGCACAUGGCACAGGGUUGUGUCCAGACCUACAGUCCCCUGUAGAUCCAGAUGAGGUUCAGUGUACACCAACCGUGUGGUGGAAUUUCCUACUGAGGUGCUGUCACCAUAUACCAACUCGUUGGCAGUGAUGUCAUGCAAAGAGUGGAUUAUUUGGUUACCAAACUCUGGCAAUAUGAAUAAAGUUCUCUUUUUCACCCUA